RNAcentral lists this ribosomal RNA (253 nucleotides) under uncultured bacterium. RNAcentral's name for it is "partial 16S ribosomal RNA". It matches the Rfam family "Bacterial small subunit ribosomal RNA", at positions 524 to 776 of the family's 1533-position model. The record is from RNAcentral.
AACGUAGGUGGCAAGCGUUAUCCGGAAUCACUGGGCGUAAAGGGUGUGCAGGCGGGGUGGCAAGUGGGGGAUGAAAUCUCCCAGCUUAACUGGGAUAGGUUAUGCCAGACUGCUACUCUAGAGGACGAGAGAGGGGCGUGGAAUUCCGGGUGUAGUGGUGAAAUGCGUAGAGAUCCGGAGGAACCCCAGAGGCGAAGGCGACGCCCUGGCUCGUACCUGACGCUCAGCCACGAAAGCAUGGGGAGCGAACGGG